ACCUGCAGGCUGUUGGGCGGGGCUGGAUCUGGGCACUAAUGAGCUGGAGGGAGGCUCCCACCUGGUCCCACCUCUGCCGCACUGAUGCCUGGGUGGAUGCACUCCCCAGUAUGGCUGCCACGAGCCCCUGGCCCCAAGGAGAGCCAGGCAGCCGCCGUUCUGCUUCUCAGAGAGACUCUCCAAGACCAGCAGCUCUCCCAAUUUAGCACACAGAACGCAGCUCCCAACAGAAAACAACUCCCCAGUGAAGUCUGAGUUUCCAUGGUUGGUUGCCGAAGCUCUGGAUGUGAACAAAGCUAAAAAGCCACACUCCCAUAGUUAGAGAAAAAAAUACAUCAAGAAAUCGGUUUCACUGCCAUGGUGCAGUUCCUAGCACAAAGCUGCAGCUGACGCUCGCUGACAAGCACCUAUGCCAGAUGCUGCCCAGUGGACGCCCCCCCCCCCCCCCACCUCCGCCCACCCCCUAUCCCUUACAUCACAUGGCUCAAAGGACGCCUUCUAACAGCUGCCCCAGCUCCCGCCAAGUGCCUGCCCUCAACCUUGGGCCAUUCAGCCUUUCCAUUUUCUUAAACCACGCCCUCCAAGCAUGCUCUCACAGUCCUGAUUUCUAGGGACUGC
Long non-coding RNA from Bubalus bubalis (water buffalo), 618 nucleotides. RefSeq lists it as uncharacterized. NCBI's taxonomy places the organism in Eukaryota, Metazoa, Chordata, Mammalia, Artiodactyla, Bovidae. The transcript is spliced from 3 exons. The record is from RefSeq and is a predicted model, not a curated record.